GUAGGGAAUAAUGGCGCUUCCUCAAAUGUUGAAUCAGAAAAAACAAAUGGAGAUGCAAAGCCUUCUGAUCAGGCAGAAAAUUCAUCUUCUGGAGAUACCAAAUUAUCAGGUUUUAACUCAGAAUCCCAAUCAAACACGUCUCAAUCUGUCAAAAGAAGGAGAAGAGGUGCUAAACGAACUGCAUUUUCUGAUUCAGAUUCAGAUGCUGAAGACGAUCUGUC
This 221-nucleotide unclassified non-coding RNA is filed under the name Hevea brasiliensis (rubber tree). Lineage: Eukaryota; Viridiplantae; Streptophyta; Magnoliopsida; Malpighiales; Euphorbiaceae. The record is from RNAcentral.